GAGGCGACUCGGUCAGUGCUCCUCUGACUGGCAGAAAGAGGAUUCAAGGAAACCUUGGAGCAUGUGAAGAAAUGCAAAAAGUUCCUCUCCACAUUCAUAAGGCUGGCCUCGAGUGGCAAACAGUCCUCAGAGACAGCAGUCAGCAUGAAAGACCUCGUGAAGAAUCUUGUGGUGUCACCUGGUUUGUUUGGCCAAGAGAGGGAUGCUUGUCUGAGCCUCUGUGCUAGAUCCUCCACUCCCAGGCUCCAGGGGUGGUGGUGAGGUCCGCCAGCCCCAGAGCUGCGUCACUCUAAAGCCUCCUCAGAUGGUCACGCAUCUUCAUACAGGUGAAAUGAGGCCGGAUGCCAGGAGUGAGACGCCCAGUCCCAGCCCCCGGCCUCCGAGACGCAAAAGCACAAGUUGAAAGACGGGGUGGGGGGGUCCUUCAGGUGUAUUCAGGCAAAGCAAGCAGCAGGGCUUGUGCUUUAGGAGCAGCUCUUACUUGAGGUAAAGAGUAUGGAAUCACAGAGCUCAGCCUAGAGGUGAUCACCUUCAUUUCUUAUGCUGCUGAGCAGUGACUGCAGAACCUCAUAGAGGUGUCCGAGGUUGCCCAGCAUGCGGGCCUCUCCUCGAAGGUGAACAUCAGGGGUAUUAAGGUAACCCGAGAACCUCCAGUCUAAGCGACACUAAAGCAGUCCAGGCAUGACCAGAAAGGCCUUCUCUCCCCACCUUCUUGAAGGACAAUGGCCAGUAUGAUCAGGUCAGCGAUUGACCUGAGAAGCAGAAGGAACCGGAACAGGACAUUUUCAUGAAAGGUUUUAACACUACAUCACCACCACUAAAUCACUAGAGCGCUUUGAGUAACAGUAGCUAGUGGUUGCUGAAUAACGAAAAACUCAACACUAAAUUUACACAUCUAGCUGAACCUACCAGCUCUCACAUUUUAGUAGACUAGUUUUUAUUGAACACAGAAGAAAAAGUUCAGUGUACUUGUGUAAAUAAGUUUAAGACGAUCCACUAGCAGUCUGUAUUUAGCAUGACGUCCCCUCCUGGCUGGGCCCCUGCCUAGUCCCCUAUUCUGCCUGGGACUCCAGGCCUCCCCCAUGACCUUGCCCAGGGUAAGCAGUUAAAAGAUAAAUGGAUAGAUGUUGCAUAGCAUGAGUCAUCUAGAAUCAGACACCAGACCCCAUGUCAGUGAAAAUAUCUCAUUCUUUGGUGGAGACUCAUGAUUUAUGUAAAUCUCGCUUAAUGCAAUCAAUGUGACCUUUAUUCCUCAUAGCGGCAUGCCAACUGUAGGACCGUGUAGAAAUGAGAUGUAGACAUGAUUAAAAUCAACGCUGGUAUUCUCUCUGCUCUCAGUCUCGGCAAUAGGAUCCAGAACAGUGUAAGGCAAAGGAGGUAGGAGUCUGUGUGCCUGUACUGGGGUUCCCCAGUAGUUGGGUGUUACCAGUUUGCAAGUGAUGUAUGUGUAAAGGGCUGACGUGUUUCCAUGUUUCUGCUUGAGACAAUGUGCAGCCGCCGGGGCUGCGCAGGUGAGGCAGCGCGACGCAAACCUCACGGACUUCACUGCUAUCGGGCCCUGGAGGAAACGGAAGACAGACUGUCCAGAAACUGAGCCUGGAGCUGAUGUACAUUAUUCAUCCAUCUUUUUGAUGACAGCAUGGUCAUUUCAUUCAAUGGACAUUCAAAUUGAGAACUUGACGGGGCUGUAAUCUCAGUCCCUCCGUGAUUUUACUUUUUCAUAUAACAUGACAGUCUCUCUGCCUUAGAUGACAGGCAUAGCAUCGGUGUUUAUACAAAACCACGACAGCUGGUCCUCGCAGAGCACGUCGAUGUGGUGUACGUUCUUACAAAUCAUGUUUGGUUGUGAAACAACGUCGAGUGAAGCCUGUUUUCCCCAUAAGGGACUUCAUAAGAAGCUCAAUUUGAAUAGAGGGCAUCCUUUAGCCACCGUAAUAUAACAUCAUUUCAAUAUUUUUCGUGAAUAAUUAAUAUAUAAUGUGCACAUUAAAUAUC
Long non-coding RNA from Brienomyrus brachyistius, 1995 nucleotides. RefSeq lists it as uncharacterized. The record is from RefSeq and is a predicted model, not a curated record. NCBI's taxonomy places the organism in Eukaryota, Metazoa, Chordata, Actinopteri, Osteoglossiformes, Mormyridae. The transcript has 5 exons.